RNAcentral lists this non-coding RNA (266 nucleotides) under Paenibacillus sp. RNAcentral describes it as "T-box sequence". It matches the Rfam family "T-box leader". Rfam says of the family: Uncharged tRNA acts as the effector for transcription antitermination of genes in the T-box leader family. T-boxes are found upstream of many aminoacyl-tRNA synthetase genes and some amino acid biosynthetic genes usually in Gram-positive bacteria. Lineage: Bacteria; Bacillati; Bacillota; Bacilli; Caryophanales; Paenibacillaceae. The record is from RNAcentral.
UAAACUACGUUGAAAAGGAAUAGUACGGUUUUUGAAGCGAACAGAGAGCUGUUGGACGGUGCGAAACAGCCGCGGAGAAGAUCGGAACUCGCCUUGGAGUUGCCCGCUGAACCCGUAAAGUAGGCGGAGCCGGAGCCCUGACCGUUAUCAUCAGGAGGAUGCAGGAUUGUCCGUUUUUUACAAUCCCGUAUCCGUAGAGUGCAUGCCGACGACGGCGUGAAUUCGGAGUGGUACCGCGUAAGAUGUCAAAGUCUUUCGUCUCUGUU